GAUGAAGAACGUAGCGAAAUGCGAUAAGUAAUGUGAAUUGCAGAAUUCAGUGAAUCAUCGAAUCUUUGAACGCACAUUGCGCCCGCCAGUAUUCUGGCGGGCAUGCCUGUUCGAGCGUCAUUACAACCCUCAGGCCCCCGGGCCUGGCGUUGGGGAUCGGCGGAGCCCCCCGUGGGCACACGCCGUCCCCCAAAUGCAGUGGCGGUCCCGCCGCAGCUUCCAUCGCGUAGUAGCUAACACCUCGCGACUGGAGAGCGGCGCGGCCACGCCGUAAAACACCCAACUCUUCUGAAGUUGACCUCGAAUCAGGUAGGAAUACCCGCUGAACUUAAGCACAUCAAUAAGCGGAGGA
Molecule: unclassified non-coding RNA, 352 nt
Filed under: soil metagenome
Description: partial contains 5.8S ribosomal RNA, internal transcribed spacer 2, and large subunit ribosomal RNA
Rfam family: 5.8S ribosomal RNA (bases 1-120)
Source: RNAcentral